ACGUAGGGGGCAAGCGUUGUCCGGAAUUACUGGGCGUAAAGCGCACGCAGGCGGUUCGUUAAGUCGAAUGUGAAAGAUCGGGGCUCAACCCCGGUUUGCGUUGGAUACUGGCGGACUGGAGUGUCGGAGAGGGAAGGGGAAUUCCCGGUGAGGGGGUAAAAGCCGAAAAAAUCGGAGGAACACCAGUGGCGAAGGCGGCUUCCUGGCCGACAACUGACGCUCAUGUGCGAAAGCUGGGGGAGCAAACGG
This 249-nucleotide ribosomal RNA is filed under the name uncultured prokaryote. RNAcentral describes it as "partial 16S rRNA". It matches the Rfam family "Bacterial small subunit ribosomal RNA", at positions 525 to 775 of the family's 1533-position model. The record is from RNAcentral.